UAUAUUAAAAAGAAAGAAAAAAAUUCUUUUCAAGACCGUGAAAUUAUAGAGCAACUCUGGUAAAGCAGAAGCAGGGGUAACAUUAUAAAGUGACAGCACCUCUGAGCAGCUUCCCAUCCCCAGGCUCUCUUGUGCUCAGUCAGCUCAGCGCCUCAACAGAUGCCAACCCUGAGGGAAGCAGCAGUGUGGGAAACAAAAUGGUGAAUGCCCAGGACCAGCACUUUGCUAGAGUGGGCAGUGGUGAUAUUUUGAUUACUGUCCCAUGGAAGGCACACUGAAAAGAAAAUGGGUCCUCAUGGAAUAUGUUGGAGCUCUUGUUGUGGUUAGAAUGGAAGCUUCAGACAAAGUUCCUUAGAAAAAACCUGCUGUUGUGUCAUGAGGAACUCUGCCACAUCCUCGCCAGUGUCUGCCAGGAACCAUCCUUCUUCACAUCCUCAGGAUGUUUAAGAUUGGGAUUGAUGGAUCAGGCUGGUCUCAGCAUUCUUCACCACCAAGCUGUGUGACCCACACCCCUUCUCCAUCUGUUGCUGAUAACUUUUGGAGAUAAUGUCAAGUCUGAACUGUUUUGCUCCUGCUUUAGGCAGUGCACCCUGAAGAGUGCCUUUAUGUACAUAGUGCAUGUGAUGCUGAAUCUAACACUGUACAAAAUGUUCUUUACCCAGAAGAGCUCCCCUGCCCUAACUGCCCCCAGCUCCUGACUGACACACUUCUGAUACACCCUGUCCCACAGAGUCAGCUGCUUGAUUAAUCUGUGGAUGAAGUUGGUUGUGUGUUAAGUCCUUAAGGAAGGAGCUGUGUUUGUUCAACUCUUAUAUGCUGACCUUUGUAGUCAACUUCAUCAACAAGUCACUUGUAACUCUGAGUACACAAAAUGCAGAUCUUAUUUGAGCUCAGAAUCUGCAAGCUACUUGUAAAGUUUAUUGGGACUGAAUCUUAAGCUACCUAAAGCCAAACUCAGCUUUAUGCUCUUUGACCUCUUUGUUAUUUAUAGAAAUGCUAGAGUCUGGCCAGAUCGUGUCCACAGAACCAAGUAGCUUCUGUGUUCCUGAGCUGAAGUGUCUGAUGGAAAUGAGGAGGAGCCAGCUCCAUCCUACCUGUGUUGUGCACCCAUUAGAGCUCCUGUAGCCCUCCUUUCCACACAGCUCCUCGUGCACAGGACUUAGAGUUGUUGCACCUCUCCCUGAAUGCUGUGGGAACUUCCACAAGCCUCCUGUACAGGAGCCUUUUUUUCCUGUCUGAAUAAAAUAUGGAUGGGGCAUCACUUGUGAAGA
Parus major (Great Tit) is the source of this 1271-nucleotide long non-coding RNA. RefSeq lists it as uncharacterized. The record is from RefSeq and is a predicted model, not a curated record. The transcript is spliced from 4 exons. Lineage: Eukaryota; Metazoa; Chordata; Aves; Passeriformes; Paridae.